Molecule: long non-coding RNA, 477 nt
Organism: Passer montanus (Eurasian tree sparrow)
Lineage: Eukaryota; Metazoa; Chordata; Aves; Passeriformes; Passeridae
Exons: 3
Source: RefSeq, a predicted model, not a curated record
GGACUGUUCUGCAUGUGAGUAGAAGAGCUCCUCUCUCUUCCUCACUGGGUGCAUCUGAAAACGACUGACCGCAGAACACUUGCGUUAUUACCCAACACCGUCAGCCUCGCCGUCUUGAUGGGACGAUGCAGAGCUCAGCCUAAAGGUCCUCAGCACCCAUGGGCCAUGGAAAGAAAGAUUAAAGUCAUCUCUGAGUUCUUCUCAGAAGCGAUUUUUAAAUUAAUGAAAAUGGCCAUGCAAAGAGGAUAAACAAUCCUUGGGAAAGAGAACACUGUUCUACAAUGCACUGUCACUUCCUUCUCCUGGAACAGCUCUUACCUAGCAAAGGGAAAACUCCCAGAACAUAAAGUCCCUUAUGUAAGUAAUAGUUUUAACAUUUUCGUGGCUGUGGUGUCAUGAUUAGCAUUGGAAAUAACAGAGCAGAAGUGAGAAGGAGCUUUAGCAAUGCAUUGAGUCUGUUUGGGUAAGAGGAAGAGA